AUUGAACGCUGGCGGCAGGCCUAACACAUGCAAGUCGGACGGUAGCACAGAGAGCUUGCUCUCGGGUGACGAGUGGCGGACGGGUGAGUAAUGUCUGGGGAUCUGCCCGAUAGAGGGGGAUAACCACUGGAAACGGUGGCUAAUACCGCAUAACGUCGCAAGACCAAAGAGGGGGACCUUCGGGCCUCUCGCUAUCGGAUGAACCCAGAUGGGAUUAGGUAGUAGGCGGGGUAACGGCCCACCUAGGCGACGAUCCCUAGCUGGUCUGAGGGGAUGACCAGCCACACUGGAACUGAGACACGGGCCGUACUCCUACGGGAGGCAGCAGAGGGGAAUAUUGCACAAUGGGCGCAAGCCUGAUGCAGCCAUGCCGCGUGUAUGAAGAAGGCCUUCGGGUUGUAAAAUACUUUCAGCGGGGAGGAAGGCGAUGUGGUUAAUAACCGCGUCGAUUGACGUUACCCGCAGAAGAAGCACCGGCUAACUCCGUGCCAGCAGCCGCCGCGG
Molecule: ribosomal RNA, 504 nt
Filed under: uncultured bacterium
Lineage: Bacteria
Description: partial 16S ribosomal RNA
Rfam family: Bacterial small subunit ribosomal RNA
Source: RNAcentral